RNAcentral lists this ribosomal RNA (83 nucleotides) under Tenacibaculum sp. The record is from RNAcentral. Lineage: Bacteria; Pseudomonadati; Bacteroidota; Flavobacteriia; Flavobacteriales; Flavobacteriaceae.
CCUCUUACCAUUCCGAACAGAGAAGUUAAGCCCAUUAGCGCCGAUGGUACUGCCACUGGUGGGAGAGUAGGUCGUUGCCUUUC